AUACUAACAAGGCUUGUGUUGAUUAGGGGGUGUGGCAUUGGUAAGGGGGUUCAUAUGGUUAGGGCUAGUGUUAAGGCCAGGAUAGGGGCAAUAAUGAAUAUGGACACGGAGGAUGUUAGUGGACGUAGAGGUUCUUUGGUAAAUAGUUUUACGGCAUCUGCGAUUGGUUGGAGAAGCCCAUAGGGGCCUACGACAUUUGGUCCUUUGUGGAGUUGUAUAUAUCCUAGGAUUUUUCGUUCUACUAGAGUCAGGAAUGCUACAGCUAGAAGGAUUGGGAUAAUUGUAGAGAGGAGGGUGAUUAGAUACAUUAUAUUAAAGAGAGGAUUUGAACCUCUGGUACUAAAGGUUUAAGUUUUAUGCAAUUACCGGUCUCUGCCACUUUGACUAAGUCCUGGGAUAGG
Molecule: long non-coding RNA, 401 nt
Organism: Phyllostomus discolor (pale spear-nosed bat)
Lineage: Eukaryota; Metazoa; Chordata; Mammalia; Chiroptera; Phyllostomidae
Exons: 3
Source: RefSeq, a predicted model, not a curated record